Long non-coding RNA from Metopolophium dirhodum (rose-grain aphid), 1534 nucleotides. RefSeq lists it as uncharacterized. Lineage: Eukaryota; Metazoa; Arthropoda; Insecta; Hemiptera; Aphididae. The record is from RefSeq and is a predicted model, not a curated record. The transcript has 3 exons.
CUGUAAUAUCAUAUAUUAUCUUGAAAAUUAACUUUCGUUUCCAAUCCAUUAUAAUCGUGGUUCAUUUAAUGGCAAUUAAAUUUUAAUCUAAAUUCUAAUGCGUGAUUCGUGUUUACUGUUUACUAAAGUGUUUAAGAGGAUGUCAGCGCACUAUCGGUUUUCUCUCUCUGGCCCACGUGCAACAUAGACAAAACGCAUUUGCGCAGAAUCGUUUUUUCUAUGGUUUUAAGAAAUCUUAGAGUAAAAUCACCCAUUACAUAAAAGAUAGAGAAUAAUAUUUUUGAGGGAAUGUCAUAUCGAUUUCUCUAAAUAUUAUUUCAAAACAAUUUAAACAUCAUUUAAAUUUACAACAUUUUUUUGUUUAUUUUAAACACAAAAACAAAAUCAAAUAACAAUAAAAUCUAAAAUCGAUAUGACAUUCCCUCAAAAAUAUUAUUCUCUUAUCUUUUUUGUAAUGGGUGAUUUUACUCUAAAAUUACUUGAAAACAUAGAAAAAAACGAUUCUGCGCAAAUGCGUUUUGUCUAUGUUGUGCGUGGUUCAAAGAGAGAAAACAAAUAGUGCGCUGACUUCCUCUUAAGUAUAACAACUAUAAUACUAUUAAUAGUAUAUUGAUAUUAAGUCUUGAAACUUAAAAGUAGAAACUCAACAGUCCAAAUGAAACCGCACCACAAGUCUUUCAUCAAUAGAAAAUCUCAAUAUUCCAUCGAUGAAGACCCUAAUUCAGAUGAUGAAGAAGAAGGUUAGUGUUAGUUCAGACUAAGAUGACCCUGGAGAAGUGGUUAUUUCCAGUGGAAGUAGUUGAAGUGUUAGUAUCACUUCGGGCCUGGAUAUUGAUGAUCGCUGUUCUAACUUUUGUUCAAUAUGUCAACAGCAAACAUACAUGUCAACAGUAAAAUGUUUAGCAGUUAUAUUUUGAAUCUAAUUUUUUCAAAUUCAUAGGUUUUAAUUUUUAGCUACCAAUAUUUUCGAAUAGAUAAUACAUAUAAAUAUUAUAUAAUCAAAAUGUAUUGCACAUUAUUGUCCUUCCUUUUAGUCCCAUUGACUAUUCUGUAAUGUAAUUACUUAUUAUAUUAUUAUUUUAUCGUUUUUAAAACCAUUUUUACUCCCUGGUUUGAUUAUAGCUUUGAAACUAGAGUUUUGCACAAACAAGGAUUUGCCCUAGUUUCGAAAAAAAAUGGCGUAGAUGCUAAAAUAUAAAUAAAUAAAUCAUGAAUAUUAUGACGAAUAAUGAAAAACUUAUUUAUUGUUGCAGUAGAAUACUUGGAUCGACUGAAAAUGAAACAUAUUGCUAUAGCAAUUUUCCGGGAUAUUAACUGUUUUUUUUUUGGAAGCCAAAAGUUGCUUCCUGGAACCAUAAUAUCACAUUGUCAAUCAUUGGCAAUUAUUUUAACAAUGGCAAAAAGGAAUUGAAGCGCUUUGCUUUUUUAAUUACCUAAAAACACUAAGCACCCUUUAAUACUAAGUUUGUUUUUCUUUAUAAUAAUUAAUAAUAAAUACAUUUUAAUAUAUUAAUAAAACUAUAUUUUUACACGA